GACGAACCGUGCGAACGUUAUUCGGAAUCACUGGGCUUAAAGCGCGUGUAGGCGGGACGGCACGUCGGUCGCUGAAAUCCCCCGGCUCAACCGGGGAACGGGCGCCGAUACGACCGUCCUGGAGGGACGUAGGGGGACCUGGAACUUCCGGUGGAGUGGUGAAAUGCGUUGAGAUCGGAAGGAACGCCCGUGGCGAAAGCGAGGUCCUGGACGUUUUCUGACGCUGAGACGCGAAAGCCAGGGGAGCGAACGGG
RNAcentral lists this ribosomal RNA (254 nucleotides) under uncultured bacterium. Its description in RNAcentral is "partial 16S ribosomal RNA". It matches the Rfam family "Bacterial small subunit ribosomal RNA", at positions 524 to 776 of the family's 1533-position model. The record is from RNAcentral.